Molecule: non-coding RNA, 6408 nt
Organism: Phoenix dactylifera (date palm)
Lineage: Eukaryota; Viridiplantae; Streptophyta; Magnoliopsida; Arecales; Arecaceae
Source: RefSeq, a predicted model, not a curated record
CAUCCAAAAGUGCUUUUGGAGGGUCAGAAAGUACUUUUUGGCCCUCUACAAGCUCCCCUAAAUGGGGCCUAAAUUAUCUGCACAAACCUGUAGAUUUGGACUGAUUUUACGGUUGCAAAGUCAACCCCAACUGGCUUCUGACAGUUGAACUUCUACAAAGGUUGCUGUGCUGGAGAGCAAGAAAGGCCGAGGAGUUGGUAUGUCUGGAGGACAGUGAUAUGUUCCAUCUGGGUGAACUGAAACUUUCAGGCUAUCCAUCUCAACUGCAGUAACAUAGUGAUCUAUGACCUGUGUGGUCCAGCUUGCUAAUAGCGAGGGUAUCCCCUUAGAGUGGGGAGAAGGCAUAUUGAAUCCCCUGCAUAAGAUAUGUUGAGAUCAUCCAGGUUAUCAAUUCAGCAGAUUCAAGACGGUAUCUGUUGCAGAAUGCUGAUGAGAUGGCCAUUGGAGGAGGCUACUACAUCGUGUAUUGGAGAGGUCUAGUCUUGCAAUCAUGGCUCUUUGCAUAAUGUGCGACGGUUGUGAUUGAUUAUGCCAGCUCCAUAUAUCAUAUAAUGUGGUCUUAUUUACGACUUGUAACUCUUUGUACACUGUGCGAUGGUUGUGAUUAUGCGAGCUUCAUGAUAUCAUGAUGUGAUCUUAUUUACUAUAUGGAUUUCAUGCAAUCAUGACUAUAACAUCUGUUAUGGCAUAUAUGAAUAAUUGAGCUGUAAUUGUAGAGGAUUGGAUCAGAGACUCUAAGAAAGUUGCUUGCAAUUCCCUCCACGUGUAACAGCCACCAACAUCUCUUCCCUGAAAAAAUAAGUCUUGACUUGACCAUUAGAUCAUCAGAUUAUGCAUUCCUAUCCGUCCGAUGGGCGUACCAUAAAGGAACCUCGCCUUUGCUGGGUUUAGCUUCAGUUUCAGGCUUUGAGAGCAAAUGAGAAGGCUUUGGUUGAUGGAUUCUUUAUCGGUAAGAUCUCCAUAUUUUUUUUCCAAUUCUUUUUCAGUGAUAUAAUUUUGCUUCUACUUUAUAUUUUAUCAGUUAUAACAAAGUUUGGUUGAUCUAUCCUUCUCCUUUCUUUUCCAUUUGACUCCACUUUGUUCUGCAAUUCUUUAGCAUUCCUUUUAAAAUUUAGAAGAUCUUUAGGGAAGAAUGGCAGAAUCUACAGCUGAGGAGACGAUCAUUGUGUACAAAGAUUCAUCGUCUUCUGAUUCUGAAAGCGAGAAGGCCCUAUUCCCGGUUUUUAAAAAGAAACGGUUGUUUGGGAGGAAGGAACCGGGUGCAUACCAUCCUCGGAGGAGGAAAAUGUAAUGCCUUUUCGGAAUUCUCGUAUCAAUUUCUUUACUUGUAGUCCUAUUGGUGUAAAAAUAUUUUUUACAAGAAGAGUCUCGGAAUAGCUACUCUGAAUUUUGAUUGUGUUAUAUUUGUAGGUUUUUCUUUUUAUGCUAAGAAAUCCAAUCUCCAAAUCUAAUAUUCUUCUCUUUUUUUUUUUGAGAAUAUUUUUCUAUGAUUGGAUAUUUAAUAACUAAAUAUUAAACAUGCAACUGUAGCAUAUAUUGAGCAUCUUUUAAGCUAUAUGGGAAAUAUUAUAUAAGCACUGCUAAAUGUCCCUUCUCUUUUAUUUGUUAAUAGCUUUUUUCUUGGGAAUUUCUGAUUUAGCUCAUAGUAUUUAUGAAGAUUUCUGUUUCAUUUAAUCAAUGUAUUGUAGUUAACCUGGCUCGACCUUAUGUUCUCCCUUGUAUCUGAAUUGCUAAUCAUCAUCUUGUUGGAUGAAGCUUCCCCCCACCUCAGAUAAUAAAUAAAUAAGCAAUUAUCAGCACCUGUUCUGUUUAAAUACAAUUUCUGAAUUUGUAAUGAGGCUAUCCGGAAGCUUAGCUUAUGUGACUUGACUAUAUCUGGUUAUUUGGGCAUGUAAGCAGUACAAGUUCAUUCUCCAUCCAGAAGAGGGUGGUUGCAAUGGAGUAGGGAUGUGAGGGAAGGGUAAAGGGAAAAGCAGAGUGAAUAUGGUUCACUGUGAAGUGUGAACCGAAUAAGAGGUUCUUACUGCCUUCUCUUACAGCAUUUGGUUGUAUUUAGUGGAUUCUCUCGAUGAAUUGGAUGGGUUUCCCUCCCUUGUUAUCAAAAAAGGAAGAAGAAGAAGAAGAACCAGGGAGGAGAGCAUUGACAGCGGAAUAGGUGGAAAAGAAGGUGGGGUUUGUUUUUUGUGGGAUGUCAUUAGAGAGUAUUGAAGCAGCAGCAAAAUUUUGGAAAGCCGAAAUGGAUGACAGUUACUGAUCUGGAAAGACAGCUUGAUUUGGUAAGUGACAGUUGUGAAUUUCAAAAGAAAAUGUUUGGACAUCUAUGCUGAGCUUAGAAAACCAUUUUGUAAUACAUAAUAUGAUGAGAGAUGCUCAUGUCUUCAUUGCUGGUUCAGCUGUCUAUAUAAAACAACACAUGAACCUAGUGAGUGAUCUAUUACAGAUACAGCUGGACAUGAGGGCCCUGUUGUCCUAGCCUUGCCCAUAUGCCGCUUUACUCAUGUUCUCCAGUCAUGAUCUAAAGUCCGUAUUUGUUGUGCCUGAACUUUCCGUGCGAUGAUGAUUAAUCCAUGCACAUUCAAAUCUAAAAAAGAUGAUGUAAGUUCUUCUGACAUAUUAACUUGUGAUCCACAUGUGUAAUAACAAAUUUACUUGCCCAAGAUGGCAUUAGGCAUUUGCUUCUGUAUCUUGUUUUUUCAGAACUAGGACAGGAGAAAACUCGGCCUCAAUUAGGUGCAGGAGAGAUUUGAACCAUCUCACUGGUGUCCGACAACCAGUGACUUUGCCUGAACUUUCUGCAUGAUGAUGAUUCCGUGAAAAUUCAAAUCUAUAAAAAAUGAUGUAAGUUAUUUUGAAGUAUUAACUUUCUGAUCCGCAUAUGUCAUAACAAAUAUUACUUGCCUAAGAUGCCAUUAGACAUUUGCUUCUAUAUGUUGUUUUUUCAAUAACUAGGAUAGGAGAGCUUUGAGGAAAUCAGGUGGGGGGGAGAUUUGAGACAUGUCAGUAUGUCACUGGUGUCCAACCGCCGCUGACUUUACCAACUGAACCAGUUGGCACCUUCCAUUUGCUUCUAUGUUCAUCAUAUCUCAUGUAUCCUUCACUGCCACUAUGAGAGCAAGAUUUAAUAAUGACGAUUGGGUAAAUGUAGACAAAUGAUGUCUAAUCUGUAUAGUUUGUAUGGCAUUUUUCUUUGUUCCUAAAAAUAUAUUAUUAAGAAUACAAUUUAUGCACUCAUUUGGAUGUUUUUCAUCAACUGAAGCUUGUGAUGGGCCUUAUUGAAAUUUUUUGCACAAAGCAUUAUUUUUAAUUUAUAUUUGAUUUUUUUUUAACAAAAAUUCCUUUUUCUUGGCUUUGAUCAAUAUAAUGUACAACGUACCAUUUAUAUUUGGCAGAUGUUGGAAAGAAAUCUCCACCAUUUUGCUUUAAAAAUAGAAAGAUGUUGGGAAGGCAGACAAAUGCUCAAUGAGUUGCUUAAGUUUCUUAAGUUCUCUACUCCAUUUUAGUAUCUAUUUUGUUGCUUGUAGCAUACUUUGGACUGGUCGCUUAAAUUGAUAAAUUGACAUAAUCUUUGCAGUUUAUUUACCAUAUAUCAAGUCUCAUGUGAUCUUUAAAUCUUUCAUAUACCAAUGCUGUUGCUUGAAUUUAUAAUUCUUUUAACCCCAAAUUUCUAUAAUAAUGUAUGAGAAUGCUUUUGCUACGUUAAAACAACAUCUAGUCGCUGAUUUGUUUGUUCUGAUUUCAGCUGCCGAUAUCAUAUUAUGGAGAAACAAGCAAAUGUCAGCGAGUAUUCUUGCUGCUGUUACUGUUCUCUGGCUUCUCUUUGAAUGCAUGGGCUAUCACUUUCUCACUUUUAUCUGUCACUCUGUUAUAUUUUUACUGGUAGUAUUGUUUUGAUAUUAAUUUGAUAUAUUACUAAAUAGUCAGUUUGAGAGAAUUGGAUAUUAAUUUAACAGAUUAGUAAAUAUUUGCCAUAAAUAAUUCAUCUACCUUCUUUUUACCUACUUAUUCAUAAAAGCUACAUUACUUUGAAACAACAUGAACGUAACACAUUCUCUUCAUUGUUGCCCCCUAGUUUACUAGCUGAUGGAAAGAAAGUUGAUGUAAGCAAUGCAGUUUUCUGGUUGCCAUGCAGCAAGCUUACAUACAUGUAUAUCAAUUUACAAUGAUACAGUUUCCAGUUUAUCAUCUACAGUGCAUAAAUUAAUUCCACUAUUUUACUUAUAAAAUUCAGGUCCCCUCCAAAUUUUUUGGAGGUUAUCUUGCCCAAGGACGUGUUCCUAACAAUAGUUCAUUCAGUGAGCCAUAAAAUCAAUGAAACUUUUGCGAUUUUCAGAUUUGUUGCUUCAGGAAAGGAUUUGAAGAAAUUCCACACAGUAAAGCUCCAACAAUUGAUCCUUGUUUUGUGUAAUCUAUGUUCAGUUCUCAGCAGGGAAAAUUGUCAUGCAGGUGAUCACUGGCUUGUGGGUUCUUUCUGUAAUUGGCAGUUGGUUCAGUUUUUUUACUCUUUUCUACAUUGGUCGGUUCCAUUUCAUCCCUCCCUGCUUUGAUGUUUUAUGUUUUGUUUCAUCUAGGAUCCUUUGUUUCCUCCAAUGCAUACCUCAUCUGUCCGUAGCUUGGAGGUCUAGAUAGUUCCAUCCAUGGCAUCUGUUUGAGAGGCAGGGUUGUUAGAUAGCGAUGUCCUUGGUUAUUGAUAUUUAUCAUUCAAUGAAAUUAAUACAUGAAUGGAGUUAGCUACAUGUAUGGUAUAUGAAUAUAUCAUCUUCUAAUUAUAGAGAAAACAUGAUCACAGGUGUUCAUCAAGCCAGCACAGGUGCUUAUCUAUUUGUUGUUUGCAAUUAUAUUAUGCGUGCCUUUUUUUUGAUUACCAGGAUAUCUCUACUUGACAGAAGUAGAAGUUUCAAAAAUGCAUUGACAGCUGCAAAGAUACAAAUACUUGUGGGAUUCUUCACUUAUUUCCACCAAACAAAGAACCAAUUUUAUAGGAAUUAAUUGAACUAUUUUAAAUGAAUGUUAUCAGAAGAUUGUACUGAAUUCAAGGUGGAAGCCUUUUUAACAUGCCUUUUGCUAUUCCUGUAUAUAUAUUUACUACUGCCUGUUCCUGCUCAGCUGUCAAUUAUUUGGGGCCCUCAUACGCUCACUGGCUUUGGAACACACUGGCAAUGAGGUUUGGUCAAAAGAAUGAUGAUGCAGUAUCAGUGUUCAGAGAAGCUGAUACCUGUACCUCUUCUUAUUAUUUUCCUAAUUGCAACCCCUAGAUUACUAACACAUACUGAAGAAACAUGACACAUAAUGAUGAAAGGUCAAGAGUUCUGUAGAUAUGAACAUGGAUGCUAGUUGGAAUUCUUUUGAAUUUCUUUUUGGUUGAUUGAUUUAAUCUACAAGGAAUUUUCCAUUUGUGGUUGACCAAUUUCAAGACUGUCUUCAUGGUAACUAUUUGACUGAUGAAUGUUAUUUUCUAUCUAGUAGUCCUUUUAUAUCAAUAUAACAACCAGUAUCUUUCUCGGAUAAGCAUAAAUUCAAAAAAAAUACACAUCGCCAAGAACUGUCAACUCUGUUUGGUGGCGCCUCUUCCCUAAGAAGUUGCCAUUGCAGGAUAUCCAGGGGUUCAAAACCUGGUUAUUGCUGGAAAAAAGAAAGAUAACUAUGUUUCUAAAUCCUAUAUAUGAGUUUGAAUAAUCUGAAAUCUUAUAAAUCCAUGCUGGUAUGCAAGACAGUGGAUAUCUUCUUGACCAUCAACUAGCACUAGAAACGCUCAAAACAAUAGGGAAGUAUUCAAUUUUAGGUUCCAUGGAUAUAUUUCUCAGACUGCACUUGGCCUAUAACAUGUUGUCCACUCAACUGAUGGACAUUAUGCAUUAACCAUAUAAUUAUGACAUACAGACAAAUAGAUAUGGAUCAACAUUUUGGCCAUGCUUGCUUGCAUAGUUUUGGACAUCUCCUAAUGUAAAUGGUGAGUCAUUGCUUUCUUUAUCAAAACUGUUUUCAGGAAUGCCUAUAUCUAGAGAAGUAUCCCCAGAGAUUGACAGGGGGUUGCAGAAUUAAUUUUUCAGCUUGUUACUUUAUUUUAUUGCACUUUUUUUUUUGUAACAGAUUUCCUUAUGAUCAGGGUACAUUUUUGUGUCCGGAAAUUUGUUAGUUGCCAGUAAUGCAUUACAUAAAUUUUAACAUGUUUAUCGCAUAAUUCUUUGCAGUUUUUGUGCUUCUGUAUUCCUUACCUGCACUUUAUGAGACAGAUGAGGAUCAAGUCAGACACAGCUGCUGGGAAGGCAAUGAUUGAAAUGAACAAGCAAUAUGCUGUUUUAGAUAAAGAAACUUUUGUGCAAAAUUCCCCGAUGCCCAUUCUCUGAUAAGAAGCAGCAAUGAAAAGUGAACUCAUUUCCUUGUCCAUAGAAUUCCAGAGCUUUCCCUCAA